Molecule: long non-coding RNA, 494 nt
Organism: Rhagoletis zephyria (snowberry fruit fly)
Lineage: Eukaryota; Metazoa; Arthropoda; Insecta; Diptera; Tephritidae
Source: RefSeq, a predicted model, not a curated record
UUUCACUGCGUUCAGCGCUUUUACGCCUAAACGGUGGUGCAACAUCCGAACGAACUUUUUCUUUAAUUAAUUCAUUUGUUUAUAACGAAAAACAAAUACAGAUGCGCCAGCAAUUGAUGCAGAUGGUUUUACGACAGGUAUAUGGUGAACAUUGGCGAGACGAAGAGCUAUAGUCGCAAAUUGAAUGCGCCGAGGUGUGAUAUUACGAAUAAGUGAAAACAUUUCUCUUAAAUAAUGCAAACUAUAUUAUGUAUAUAUUUUAUGCUUUUUUUUUAUGUAAGCAGCUAUUUUAGCACUACACUUUUCAAUGAUUACUCAAUCAGGCGGAUAAACAUGAAAUGCAGUCCGAAAUUGAAAAAAUGCCUUUUUAGGAAAAUUGCGCAGCUUUUUAAGAAAGACUCGCUAAUUUACUCAUCCAAUAAUGAAACGUCAACUCAAAGCAAUACCUAGAUGAAGUACAUUUGUAUAUGUUAAUAAUAAUUAAUGCAAAACUA